RNAcentral lists this transfer RNA (75 nucleotides) under Gammaproteobacteria bacterium. RNAcentral describes it as "tRNA-Asp". It matches the Rfam family "tRNA". From Rfam's summary of the family: Transfer RNA (tRNA) molecules are approximately 80 nucleotides in length. Their secondary structure includes four short double-helical elements and three loops (D, anti-codon, and T loops). The record is from RNAcentral. Lineage: Bacteria; Pseudomonadati; Pseudomonadota; Gammaproteobacteria.
GGUCUCAUAGGGGAGUCAGGAGUCCCCACCUGCCUGUCACGCAGGAGAUCCCGGGUUCAAAUCCCGGUGGGACCG